CAAAAAAUCUUCUUUUUUNGGAGAUGAGUUCUGAGAAGCGGGGAGUAUAUCCCAAGGUGUCCUAUAUAAGGGCACAAUCCCUUAAAAUGUAAAAGGCUCCCCGGAAAAAAGUAUUAUUUUGUUUUCUAUCCGUCUGUGUGGGAGAGGAAAAGGUUCUCCCAAGGUUCUUAUCCGGUUAGGGGUGUGAAAAACCUCACCCCCCACCACGGGGCCCUGGAAAUACGGCGCCCCCAUUCUUUCGGAGAGGCAGGCAAUUAGGAAUUUUUGGGCAUUGGCCGGAAAACCCUGACGACAUGGAUCUUGCCGGGAGGGACGAAUUUCCUUUGGAAUUUAAAACCCCUUUUAGGUGGGGAGCAGGGCCGGAUAGUUCCCAACUGAAUUAAGCCUCCUGUCUAACUGGCGUGCCAGAAAGCUUCGGGUGAUACGUAGGGGUGCGGAACGUUGUUCGGAAAUUAACUGGGCGUUAAAGCGAGUGUAAGGCUGUUAAAAUAAGUUUUUUUGUUAAAAUCCCAACAGGCCUAACUUGUGGAAAAGGCAAAGAAAUACUAUUUAGCUAAGAGGGGGAGUAGGGAAAAGCUGGAACCGUGUGGGUGGAAGCGGUUUAUAUGUGUUUGAUAUCACACUGGAACCACCGGAGGGCGAAGGGCGGCUUUUUAGGCUCCUUCCUUGACGCUAAGACUCGAAAGCCAGGGUAGCAAAACGGAUUAGAUACCCGUGUAGUCCUGGCUGUAAAUGAUGUAUGCUGGAUGUUAGCUUCUUUUUUGUAUUUAUACUUAAAAGGAGUUAGUGUCGAAGCUAACGCGUUAAGCAUACCGCCUUAGGAGUACGGUCGCAAGGCUGAAACUGAAAGGAAUUGGCGGGGACCCGCACAAGCGGUGGAGCACGUGGUUUAAUCCGUAGAUACUCGUAUAAUCUUAUCAGGGUUUGAAUGUAACUGCAGUCUCUAAGAAACUAGGGGCGCCUUCGAGGGAGUUACACAGGUAUUGCAUGGCCGUCGUCAGCUCGUGUCGUGAGAUGUACCGUUAAGUCGGGUAACGAGCGCAACCCCUAUCUUAUAUUAUAAGUGUUUUAGGAAACUGCCGUGGUAAAACACGGAGGAAGGUGGGGAUGACGCCUGGUCGUCAUGGUCUUUAUGCCAUGGGCUACACACGCGCUACAAUGGUUAAUACAGAGGGUUGCCAAACCGUAAGGUGGAGCUAAUCCUUAAAGUUAACCUCAGUUCAGAUUGAGGGCUGAAAUCCGUCCUCAUGAAGUCGGAAUCGGUAGUAAUCGCAGGUCAGGAAUACUGCGGUGAAUACGU
RNAcentral lists this ribosomal RNA (1300 nucleotides) under uncultured candidate division WS6 bacterium. RNAcentral describes it as "bacterial SSU rRNA". It matches the Rfam family "Bacterial small subunit ribosomal RNA", at positions 118 to 1371 of the family's 1533-position model. The record is from RNAcentral.